Molecule: long non-coding RNA, 1258 nt
Filed under: Fukomys damarensis (Damara mole-rat)
Lineage: Eukaryota; Metazoa; Chordata; Mammalia; Rodentia; Bathyergidae
Description: lncRNA (ENSFDAG00000022255.1)
Source: RNAcentral
GGACUAUAAGAUAAAACUGCAACCAAAUGCUUAAAAACUGAUAAUGUGGAGCCUCUUGUGCUCUAGGAGCUACUCAAGCUUCUUUCUGCUCUGUGGUAAUCAGCUUCUAAUAAGAACUAUUUAGUUUUGUUUGUAAAACACCUGCUUGCUAAAUCUGCCAUUUUCCUGUGGUAAACUUGUCUCUCAGAAAAUGUGACAUCGUUACAGGCAAACCCCAGCGUUUCCCCUUUGGAGGAGGUCGAGCUGUCUCCCCUCCACUUGAGUUGCUAAGAUAGAAGGUAUGAAGGAGCUAUCAAGGUAGCUGAAACUCAGCUACACCACUCUAGAGUAAAACAGAAUUCCAGGGAAUCCGACUCUAGGAGGCCAAGAGACAAUGCACUCAAAGCCCUGCUCUCACCACACCAGAAGCUGGUGAGUCUACGCACGGCUGAAGGAGAACUACAAUCUAGAUAUAUAGACUCUUAUAUUGUGUCAUACUUUUAUGAGUUAUUAUACUUCUAAAUGAAGAGUUUAUGAGCCUACAGAUGAUAAAAAUAUGAAAACUUUUUGUGCUCUGGUAAUCCUAAUCCCCAAUUUAGCUGUCUAAGAGAUGCCUUUACAAAUUGCUGUGACCCCUUAGCUAAAAAUUUAAACAAUGAAUCAAGGAUUUGAUUCUACCUAAGAUCAGUGGGGAUUGUAAGACUUGAAUAGGCUAAAGUGACUCCAUGCUAAUAGGCCAGACUGUGCUUCUUCAUAUGCUAAUUGCUACCUUGGUUAACAGCCCGCCCAGGGGCAAAUGGUUUGACAAAAGGUGACCCUAGAACAUUUCCUGCAUAAGAUAAGCAAUGUGUUUGCAGUCUUGUUCUGUGAAUUCCCUGACUCUUUGUUUAGAAAAACCUUAUAAAUUUACCAUCUAGGCUGGUGUGUUCCUUCCUGGGUUUCUCGGUUCUCUGUCGUGUUCCCGGAGCCUCGCUGGGUGUUAGGGCCCAGCAUCGUGGAGGCCUUUUGGCUGUUCACGCUCCGUGGAGUGGAAGUGAGACUUUAGGUCUUACACAAUAGAUAUCGUUUGCUUCGCGGAAGCUUAUUUUGGGGGAAGGGGAUCCAACAAGAGCAGAACUAGACUCUCCUUGAGCAAGUGAUGUGAGAAGUGAGACCUGACAUGAAUGGAAGUUAACCUGUAAAAGAGGAAAGGAAGAGUGCACUGUGGCCUAAAUGUGUCUUGUACUUGCCCUCCCUGGGCCUUUAAUCGCUGUAUUCUUAUCUCACUGGAAUACUUUUC